GCCCGAGUGGCGGAACAGGCAGACGCAAGGGACUUAAAAUCCUUUGGGCCUUUGCGCCCGUGUGGGUUCGAGUCCCACCUCGGGCACCA
Molecule: transfer RNA, 89 nt
Filed under: Bacillota bacterium
Lineage: Bacteria; Bacillati; Bacillota
Description: Firmicutes bacterium (anaerobic digester metagenome) tRNA-Leu
Rfam family: tRNA
About the family: Transfer RNA (tRNA) molecules are approximately 80 nucleotides in length.
Source: RNAcentral